This 460-nucleotide ribosomal RNA is filed under the name uncultured bacterium. RNAcentral's name for it is "partial 16S ribosomal RNA". It matches the Rfam family "Bacterial small subunit ribosomal RNA", at positions 338 to 795 of the family's 1533-position model. The record is from RNAcentral.
CCUACGGGAGGCAGCAGUGAGGAAUAUUGGUCAAUGGGCGAGAGCCUGAACCAGCCAAGUCGCGUGAAGGAUGACGGCCCUACGGGUUGUACACUUCUUUUGUCAGGGAGCAAUUGAGUCCACGUGUGGGCUUAGCGAGAGUACCUGAAGAAAAAGCAUCGGCUAACUCCGUGCCAGCAGCCGGGGUAAUAAGGGGGAUGCGAGCGUUAUCCGGAUUUAUUGGGUUUAAAGGGUGCGUAGGUGGAAUAUCAAGGCAGCGGUAAAAAUUCGGGGCUCAACCCCGUCGUGCCGUUGAAACUGAUGUUCUGGAGUGGGCGAGAAGUAUGCGGAAUGCGUGGUGUAGCGGUGAAAUGCAUAGAUAUCACGCAGAACUCCGAUUGCGAAGGCAGCAUACCGGCGCCCAACUGACGCUGAAGCACGAAAGCGUGGGUAUCGAACAGGAUUAGAUACCCCUGUAGUC